UGCGUGUGUGUGUGUGUUGGGAAAAUGGCCCAGCAGAAAAAAAAAAAAAAAAAGGAAUUGCAUCAUAUUCUUUGAGCUCCUGUCACCUUUCUGCAUAAAAGCGCUGUCUUCACACAACAUGAAAGUAAACGAUCGCACAAAAACUAAGCCGCAGACUCUGCUUUUGCAUGGAAUUAAUAAUGCACAGUACCGAGAUGAUGUUUGUUCUUGCCUCUUCUCCAAGAAGGUCAUUUUGACAGUAAGCUGCUACUUUGUUUGACCUUGAGAAUGUCAGGUUUUUUUUUCUUUUCCACUGGCAUGUAACAAUGUAGAAUUAAACAAAUCCAGUGCGACAUUAUCAUCAUCAUCAUAAUCUCAGCAAUGCAACUUUAUUAUUUUAUGCGCCAUGAUUUAUUGAGAUGUGGGAGCUACUUAGUUGAAAGUUUGUGUUUAAGGGACACAAUGGACUCGUCACCAAAUACUGACUGACUGACUGAGUGAGACGUGUGCAUGUUUAGCUGUCGCUGUCAGAAACAGGCCCAUAUUCAUACAACUCUCAGUGUGUGCACAUAGUUUUCAAUGCAGCCUCGUAUGGAGCAAUAAAGUGCAAUUUGUCAUUUGUCUAGUGAGAAGAAAGGGAAGAACUGAAAAGAAAUUGGUUUCUCAUUGCCGUAUCACUGCAGAUUUUUCCUUUAUUGUUCCAUAGUGAUAAAGUGUCCCAGUCGGGAAAUCAGGAAGUACAAGCAUAAGUGUUGUUUUUCUUCUUCUUCUCCGUCUGAUCUGAUUUGCCUUUUUUUUUUUGUCUGCUUUGUAUUUAUUGCCACCAUUUGAAUGGGAGGUUACUGAUACUGCUGGUGCACACAGUGGAAAAAUCUGAUGUCUGUGGUGAGACCUAGCAAGUCUAAAUCAGCAGCUGGUAACUAGGACUGGAUUACUUUCAUCUUGACCAACCCUGACUUGAUGGCUGGCUGGUCGGAUGCUCAAAAGCCUGACUUUUUUUUUCUGGUUGGUGAAAAACAUUAUGCCUAGUUGCAGAAAGAUCAUGCUUAAAAAUCAGGAAGUGAGACUUCAGCGUCUGGCACUUAUCUUCUGGCCUUGAGGUGUUUUUCUCUGAUUUAUUUUAAUUCACAUUUAUAUGUCUAAGAAACAUAGCAUAGAUAAGAUUGAUGUAAAGUGGCCAUCAAAGAAAUGUGUUCUUUGCAUGAAUUUCUUCAUUUUUUUUUUAAACGUGGGAUUUUCUUAUAAAGCUCACCUGCUCUAGAUAUUUUUAUUUUUCCUCAGACAUUCUCUUUGUACUCGUUCUGUCACAUUCUCUUAUUUGUAAGUAUGCACUGCACAAUAUGCUCUAAUGGUGAGGCACCAGGACUGAACAGAAACUUUGGUUGAAACCUGUUAAGACCUUCAGAAUGUAAUAAAAGUAAAAAUCAAGGGCAAGUUAAAACACUACAAGAGAAGCCUGUUCUGUUUGUUGUUUUUUUUUUUGUAUGCAGGUGCUGUUUAAAGAAAUCAAUUACGGUUGAAAGUACAAAAACAUUUUGUUCAUGUUUAGCUAAUAAACGUGUAAAGAUAUGCUGAAAACACCGAAGAACUUCAGCCAUCGUCCCAUUUUUCAGUGCUUUCAGGAACACCAGGAAUCAAGCAGACAGAUUCACAUGACUUCUGAAUCCUCAAAGUCAGAGAGGCCGCUGCACUCCAUCUCACAUAAUUCCACGAGACAAUGCAUCAUCAAAGAGCCUUCACCCAGGCUUCCUCACCCUCUUCUCCCUCCGUUCCCCUCCUCUCAUUUCUAGCCUCCCCCCCUCCUCUCUCGUUCCUCCGCUCCUGCUUACCUGUUAUCCCCCACUCCGCCUGUCACCCGGCAGCUCCGUCCUCCUAAUCCCUUCUGAAAAGAGACGACGGAGCAGAAAAUCACCUCUCCACCUCUGUCACACACUCCCUCGCUCUCUUUUGUCUUUAGCUCUGGUCUCCAGCUGACCCCCUCGUAUGCCAUCUCUAGCGAGCUGUCUCCCUACCUCAUCUCCCUCCACAAUAUUCAUCGCCUCACUCCUCCCUGGCCAAUUCUCCCUCCUCAAACACUUGGUACAUGUUCCCUCUCCUUAACUUGCUGAUGCGAUGGGAUAUAAUUGCUUAAUUUCCCAGCUUGUCACAGGCCAAACUCACCAUAACGGACCCCGCCAAAUCCAUCUGGUCAGAGCCAAGCGAAAUUAACGCCGGUGGAGAGGGAAAGACGUAAACACAAAUGAACACGAACACACAAACACUCAAGGGAGCGGAGACCUGAUGUGCUUUGAUGAGACUGGCAAGCAUAUUACACCCAUAUUGGGGGUGGUGAAGAGGGGGGGGAGAAAUCCCUGUCAUUUUAAGUGUAAGCUCAACAAAUGUCCUAACUUCAAAAGCUGAGUCUCACAAAUAUAUGUAUAUUUGUGAGACUAUAUAUAUUUAUAGUUGCUUGUGUGUACACUAUACACACAAGCAACACUAAUAAGAGUACAUGGCAUUUAACAAAUAUAUCCAAGUCUACUUUUGAGUUGGUACUCAUCCAAGUUAUGAAAAUAAGCUUACUUUUAUUUGCCUCUUAUACCAAAUUGUGUUUCCUUUAGGUUUAAGUAGCUCAGGCUCUUGAAAGUGCCCCAAAAUUCACUUUGAAAUAAAAUCCAAUAACAUUUUUUACACUGUAAAAUCUAGUCUGUUUUUUCAACAUAAAAAAAUUUAAGUGGCUGUCUUAACUUUCAAAUAUCCCCAUCAAACUAUUUGCUUUGUGGUGCAGUGAUAUAUCCAGCAACGGCUUCAAUGAGAAAUAAAUACCCUGCCCGACCUCUCUCGUCUGAUCUUUAUCCUUCUUGACUAAUUCGCCUCUCCAAACUGGAGAAGAAAAACAAUCUAUCUUUAUAAAAGUCUUUAGGAACUUCUCUGCUUGACAAAUAAAAGUGGUUUGUGACCAGGGGGCUGGUUGUGCCAUCAGGAUGUGCGGGAAGCUUUCCGAAAAGCUGGUCUGCUCAGGUCUGAACACUGGGAAUUUAUUUUUUUUGUUUGUUUUUUUUGUUUACCCCAUAGAGAAGCAGCGCUGUCCUAAUGGCCACAGGUGCAGAGUGAGACGUCAGUCUGAUAGUUUGCCUAUUAGGGGUUAGUUUCAAGCAGUGCCUCCGAUUUGAAAAAUAAGAGAGAAAAAGGAAAUUUAAGGAGGG
Poecilia latipinna (sailfin molly) is the source of this 3164-nucleotide long non-coding RNA. RefSeq lists it as uncharacterized. The transcript has 2 exons. NCBI's taxonomy places the organism in Eukaryota, Metazoa, Chordata, Actinopteri, Cyprinodontiformes, Poeciliidae. The record is from RefSeq and is a predicted model, not a curated record.